Molecule: ribosomal RNA, 664 nt
Filed under: Haglerozyma chiarellii
Lineage: Eukaryota; Fungi; Basidiomycota; Tremellomycetes; Trichosporonales; Trichosporonaceae
Description: LSU rRNA
Rfam family: Eukaryotic large subunit ribosomal RNA
Source: RNAcentral
UAAGACUAACAGGAUUCCCCUAGUAACGGCGAGUGAAGCGGGAAGAGCUCAAAUUUAAAAGCUUGCAGUCUUCGAUUGUACGCAUUGUAAACUAUAGAAGUGUUUUCCGUGCUGGACCGUGUAUAAGUCCCUUGGAACAGGGUAUCAAAGAGGGUGAUAAUCCCGUACUUUACACGAUAACCAGUGCUCUGUGAUACACUUUCAACGAGUCGAGUUGUUUGGGAAUGCAGCUCAAAAUGGGUGGUAAAUUCCAUCUAAAGCUAAAUAUUGGCGAGAGACCGAUAGCGAACAAGUACCGUGAGGGAAAGAUGAAAAGCACUUUGGAAAGAGAGUUAAACAGUACGUGAAAUUGUUGAAAGGGAAACGAUUGAAGUCAGUCGUGUUCAUUGGACUCAGCCAGUUCUGCUGGUCUAUUUCCUUUGAACGGGUCAACAUCAGUUUUGUCCGGUGGAUAAAGGCAGUAGGAAAGUAGCUUCUCCGGAAGUGUUAUAGCCUAUUGUCACAUACACUGGGGGAGACUGAGGACUGCAGCUCGCCUUUUGGCCGGGGUUCGCCCACGUUCGAGCUUAGGAUGUUGACAUAAUGGCUUUAAACGACCCGUCUUGAAACACGGACCAAGGAGUCUAACAUAUCUGCGAGUGUUUGAGUGUCAAACUCGAGCGCG